UUGACGACCGUAAGUUUCUUUGUUUUUGGUUCCUACAGGUGGGGGCCGAUUUUGUUACUUUGGUAAUUUAGCGUUUGUGAUUUUAUUUGAGUCAUAAAGCUAGAUUACCAAAGCAAUGCGGUUGGCAUUGCGUCGUGGAGAUUGGAGUUGGAAUAAGAAGACGUUCAUU
Tribolium castaneum (red flour beetle) is the source of this 169-nucleotide non-coding RNA. RefSeq annotates it as microRNA mir-9b. Lineage: Eukaryota; Metazoa; Arthropoda; Insecta; Coleoptera; Tenebrionidae. The record is from RefSeq and is marked provisional.